UACGUAGGGGCCAAGCGUUGUCCGGAUUUACUGGGCGUAAAGCGUGCGUAGGUGGUGAGUUAAGUCUGUCGUGAAAGCCCCGGGCUCAACCUGGGAAUGGCGAUGGAUACUGGCUCGCUAGAGUGCGGUAGAGGAGAGUGGAAUUCCCGGUGUAGCAGUGAAAUGCGUAGAGAUCGGGAGGAACAUCAGUUGCGAAGGCGGCUCUCUGGACCAGCACUGACACUGAGGCACGAAAGCGUGGGGAGCAAACAGG
RNAcentral lists this ribosomal RNA (253 nucleotides) under uncultured bacterium. RNAcentral's name for it is "partial 16S ribosomal RNA". It matches the Rfam family "Bacterial small subunit ribosomal RNA", at positions 524 to 776 of the family's 1533-position model. The record is from RNAcentral.